GACGAACGCUGGCGGCGUGCUUAACACAUGCAAGUCGAACGGAAAGGCCCUGCUUUUGUGGGGUGCUCGAGUGGCGAACGGGCGAGUAACACGUGAGUAACCUGCCCUUGACUUUGGGAUAACUUCAGGAAACUGGGGCUAAUACCGGAUAGGAGCUCCUGCUGCAUGGUGGGGGUUGGAAAGUUUCGGCGGUUGGGGAUGGACUCGCGGCUUAUCAGCUUGUUGGUGGGGUAGUGGCUUACCAAGGCUUUGACGGGUAGCCGGCCUGAGAGGGUGACCGGCCACAUUGGGACUGAGAUACGGCCCAGACUCCUACGGGAGGCAGCAGUGGGGAAUAUUGCACAAUGGGCGGAAGCCUGAUGCAGCAACGCCGCGUGCGGGAUGAAGGCCUUCGGGUUGUAAACCGCUUUAGCCUGUGACGAAGCGUGAGUGACGGUAAUGGGUAAAGAAGCACCGGCUAACUACGUG
Molecule: ribosomal RNA, 468 nt
Filed under: uncultured bacterium
Lineage: Bacteria
Description: partial 16S ribosomal RNA
Rfam family: Bacterial small subunit ribosomal RNA
Source: RNAcentral